UACGUAGGGGGCGAGCGUUGUCCGGAUUCAUUGGGCGUAAAGCGCCCGCAGGCGGCUGGCCACGUCGCGCGUGAAAUCGCCCGGCUCAACCGGGCGGGGCCGCGCGAUACGGGUCGGCUGGAGGCAGGGAGGGGGACGCGGAAUUCCGGGUGUAGUGGUGGAAUGCGUAGAGAUCCGGAGGAACACCGGUGGCGAAGGCGGCGUCCUGGCCCUGUCCUGACGCUCAGGGGCGAAAGCGUGGGGAGCGAUCCGG
Molecule: ribosomal RNA, 253 nt
Filed under: uncultured bacterium
Lineage: Bacteria
Description: partial 16S ribosomal RNA
Rfam family: Bacterial small subunit ribosomal RNA
Source: RNAcentral